Molecule: ribosomal RNA, 465 nt
Filed under: uncultured Bacillota bacterium
Lineage: Bacteria; Bacillati; Bacillota
Description: bacterial SSU rRNA
Rfam family: Bacterial small subunit ribosomal RNA
Source: RNAcentral
CCUACGGGGGGCUGCAGUAGGGAAUUUUCGGCAAUGGGGGGAACCCUGACCGAGCAAUGCCGCGUGAACGAUGAAGGUCUUCGGAUUGUAAAGUUCUGUCAAUAGGGAAGAAUGGUCCGCGUAGUGGAAAGACGCGGGCGUGACGGUACCUGUUUAGAAAGCCCCGGCCAACUAUGUGCCAGCAGCCGCGGUAAUACAUAGGGGGCGAGCGUUAUCCGGAUUUAUUGGGCGUAAAGCGUGCGUAGGCGGUUUAUUAGGUCAGGCGUAAAAGAUCACAGCUCAACUGUGUAGGGCGUUUGAAACCGGUAGACUUGAAUAUGGUAGAGGCAGGCGGAAUUCCAUGUGUAGCGGUGGAAUGCGUAGAUAUAUGGAGGAACACCAAUGGCGAAGGCAGCCUGCUGGGCCAGAAUUGACGCUGAGGCACGAAAGCGUGGGGAGCAAACAGGAUUAGAUACCCUAGUAGUC